Molecule: long non-coding RNA, 1690 nt
Organism: Eufriesea mexicana
Lineage: Eukaryota; Metazoa; Arthropoda; Insecta; Hymenoptera; Apidae
Exons: 4
Source: RefSeq, a predicted model, not a curated record
UCCGACUCGCGAUUUUUCUAAAUGACUUAUUUAUUUCUCUCUUUCCUUUUUUAUAGUGUGUAUUUAUGGUAAGACGGUUACGCCUGGUGCUUCUGGAGGACUUAAAAGGUAUUCGCAUCACGUGUCGACUAUGAACUCCCGUAAUAGGAAAAUAAGACGACGAUUCGUGCGCGUUGGGUAAACAAGUGGCGAAAACAAGUUUUUCAUUUACCUAACGGAUAGAGAGGAGAAGAAACACGCAGAGGAUAGUGGGAAAAUAUUAACAGUUGUCAGUCCUCAACAAUCUGGGAUACCAAGUCUCAGCUUGGCGCCUUCCGCCUAGAUUUGUUAUUUUAUCGAUUAGGAGGGAUGUCGAGCCUCGUGUUCACGUGGCCUCUCGUUUCGUUACGAAAGAAAUGAAAACACCUAAAGAAAGAUCUGGCGAUACGACCUGUGGAGGCAACUAUUUUCCUCGAUGUCCGUCGAUUUCCCGGUAGAAGGAGAUGUCGAGAGACGUGCCCAUAAGAAGGAAAACGGGAUGGAAGAUCGAUCUCUACCAGUGUGCAACUUGAUCGAGAAGAGACUAUCCGUUUUAUAUUCCCGUAAGAAUAUUACGAAACGGACAGCGGGAACGCUGCUUGAACAACGUACGACUUGAAAGACAAAAAGGAAAGAAGGAAUUAAACAAGAAUCUCCCUUCGGAUUCGAUGGAAAUGCUGGAGACGGGUUUACACGAGAAUCAAUACCUCGAACGCGAUAUUCUUCGAUACUCUAUAAUCCGAACUACCACGAUAAAAAAGAAAAUGUUUCUGCCGUUUUUAUACGGCUAUCGCGUGUAUACAGAGCCACACAUAUACGGAUAGGCUUACUUAUACACGGUGAUCUCGGCGGACCUAUUGCUCCUGUAGAGGAGACGGUUCGACGUGUUUCGCCACCACUUCCAUAGUCAGGUUUUCGCUGUUAAUCCGAUCUUUUCGGCACGCCCCUGCGUCGUUUAAACCGUGUAAGUGCUACUGACUGCGAAGCCAGCCAACUGCGAGAAGUCGACGCAGAAACGAAAAAAGGUAAAGAAAAGGGUGCAGGAGGAUUCGUGGACGACCUUAAUAAACGUUAAGAACGAUCCACGCGAUUGGUAAACGUUGAAACGUCUGUUCCACGUAGGACACUGGAAAGCCUGCUAAUGGCCAAGUUGUAUAAGAGUCGAGGAAAGCUACAUUUCCCCCCGUGAAUUUCCCCAGGAGUGGAAAACUCCGUGAAAAGUUUGGUGAGGCAACCCUCGUGCAAUCGUUGCCACGUUUACGUGGAUCGCGUUUCUUUGUUCUUCGCUUGCUCGAUACCAUACAGCGAUGUAAUCUUACACAAUCCUUCAAUUUUCAUUUACAGUUUCAACUUCGAUCCGUGGCUUCGUUGGCGCAACAAUACAAAGAACUCGAAUCCUCGAGAGUAAUUACUGGUACGAGACUUUUUCACGCGAGCUUCUCUAUAGAUGCCGAUGGAAAAUCGCUCCGUAGGGGUUCGUUGCAGAAGUUUGUAAAAUAGGGACGAAGAAAGCGCAAAAUUUUCAAGUGCUACGCGUUCAGGUUCGAUCUAUAGAUACGUACUUACUGUUCUCUGUUUGAAUAGCCUAUGCGACUACAAUGAUGACCCACCUUUAUUCUAGCUUUUUAUUUCACUCAUAAGAUUCUCAUACUUUUUCUAUCUCUUAAUCUAA